Non-coding RNA from Cinara cedri, 245 nucleotides. The record is from the annotation of a GenBank genome assembly. NCBI's taxonomy places the organism in Eukaryota, Metazoa, Arthropoda, Insecta, Hemiptera, Aphididae.
AAACAGGAUUGUUCGAAAGAGGUUCGAGGCGGAUCAGCGCGGACGAGUUUGAUAGCGUUUGUACAGUGUCGCUCUUGUAACUACGGUCCUGGAAAAUAUCAAUCGCCACCAGUUAUUUUACAAGGUCUCAGCUGUUAUUUAUUUAUUUCUUUAGGAUUGAAAACGUAUGCUCAGAAUCGUUUUCUCGUAAUCAAUGGUUUAUCGUUGCUUAUAGGUAUGUGUUAAGUUAUCAAUAGCAGUGGCCG